Dromiciops gliroides (monito del monte) is the source of this 613-nucleotide long non-coding RNA. RefSeq lists it as uncharacterized. NCBI's taxonomy places the organism in Eukaryota, Metazoa, Chordata, Mammalia, Microbiotheria, Microbiotheriidae. The record is from RefSeq and is a predicted model, not a curated record. The transcript has 3 exons.
UCUUGUUCCCGCCCUAGGCAGGAUUCCCAGAAACCUUUCCAGAUAAAUGAGUAUAAGGCCCACCUUCUAGGAAAGAAGGGAUGAUGCCUACUCUUGGUUACUGCUUCCAACACUCAGCACACUGUCAGAUUGUUAUUGGGGCCCCAUUACAUGCAAGGCAAUAAAAAUCAUGAUAUGAUCAUCAAAAACAAAGGUCCUUCAUCACUCCUGAAGGUGGUCUAUAAUAAACUUCUUGUUGUUCAUCCUUGGUUUCUGAAGAGGACUGAUGACACCAUGGGGUGAUAUCUUGACCUGCGUGUCAACGAGACAGAGUUGUACAAGGUCAUCGGUCUCCCUCUCUCUUGCAUAGUCAUCAGAGUCCAGUGGCAAGACAAAAGUCAGGACAACUGUCAAUGGCCCGAGAUGUAGUGGAUGACCUUGGCACCUCUGACCAAGCUCUAAGUGCUCCGCACUGCCUGCUUCAGCUGCUUCUUCAUGGUUGUUGGAAUAAAUUGUUCUCGUCUGCCCAUUCCAUUCCCAUGCUUUGGUAGACAUUCCCCUAACUCAUCAAGAAGCUGUAUAAUAAACCAUUCACAGCACCAUUCAUUUCGGUUUCUCUCUCCAUUAAUUGUCA